This is a long non-coding RNA of Rhipicephalus sanguineus (brown dog tick), 538 nucleotides long. RefSeq lists it as uncharacterized. The record is from RefSeq and is a predicted model, not a curated record. The transcript has 4 exons. NCBI's taxonomy places the organism in Eukaryota, Metazoa, Arthropoda, Arachnida, Ixodida, Ixodidae.
GGCCAUUGUUAGCGGUUCUCACUCUUAGCGUCGCGUUCCUUAUUUUUUCGGGAAACGUGAAAGCAGUCAAAAACUGGCAACGAACCAAACAUGGCGCAGUAUUCGUUUCCGUAAAGGCGUGAGGUGGCGAUUCGUCGAUGUCCAUCAAUACCGCGGCAGGAAACGAAUGAUUAGCCGAAAAUGAAAACAAUCGAAUCAAGGGUGAUCAUUGCUUUAUGGAUCCUUGGCCUCGGGACGUCGCAAAUACUGGUCGAAGCAAGACGUGGGCAGGAAGCCAUGCUCACCCCAUACCAUAAGGCAACUAAAUUUUCCAAAACAAGUAAAAGCUCCCAUUCCUCAAAUGUAUGCAAAACAAAAGCUUGCGAACACAGGGCCAAAUACAUCACGGCUUCUCUAAACAAGGACUAUAAACCAUGCGAUAGUUUCUACGACCACGUUUGCAGCAACUGGAUGUUCUACCACCCUAUUCCUGAUGACAAGAGCAGCGCCAGUGUAUUGGAAGGACUCGACGAUAAGUUGACCGAAGAUCUCAAAGGCA